GACGAACGCUGGCGGCGUGCCUAAUACAUGCAAGUCGAACGCAAAACUUUCACCGAAUGCUUGCAUUCACGAAAGUUUUGAGUGGCGAACGGGUGAGUAACACGUGGGUAACCUGCCCAGAAGAGGGGGAUAACACUUGGAAACAGGUGCUAAUACCGCAUAAUAACAAAAACCGCAUGGUUUUUGUUUGAAAGAUGGUUUUGCUAUCAAUUCUGGAUGGAACCGCGGCGUAUUAGCUAGUUGGUAAGGUAAAGGCUUACCAAGGCAAUGAUACGUAGCCGAACUGAGAGGUUGAUCGGCCACAUUGGGACUGAGACACGGCCCAAACUCCUACGGGAGGCAGCAGUAGGGAAUCUUCCACAAUGAACGAAAGUCUGAUGGAGCAACGCCGCGUGAGUGAAGAAGGUUUUCGGAUCGUAAAACUCUGUUGUUAGAGAAGAGCGUGUGUGAGAGUAACUGCUCAUGCAGUGACGGUAUCUAACCAGAAAGCCACGGCUAACUACGUGCCAGCAGCCGCCGUAA
RNAcentral lists this ribosomal RNA (522 nucleotides) under uncultured bacterium. RNAcentral's name for it is "partial 16S ribosomal RNA". It matches the Rfam family "Bacterial small subunit ribosomal RNA", at positions 28 to 523 of the family's 1533-position model. The record is from RNAcentral.